RNAcentral lists this ribosomal RNA (199 nucleotides) under uncultured bacterium. RNAcentral's name for it is "partial 16S ribosomal RNA". It matches the Rfam family "Bacterial small subunit ribosomal RNA", at positions 328 to 539 of the family's 1533-position model. The record is from RNAcentral.
ACGCUCGACACCUACGGGGGGCAGCAGUGGGGAAUAUUGCACAAUGGGGGAAACCCUGAUGCAGCGACGCCGCGUGAAGGAUGAAGUAUUUCGGUAUGUAAACUUCUAUCAGCAGGGAAGAAAGUGACGGUACCUGACUAAGAAGCCCCGGCUAACUACGUGCCAGUAGCCGCGGUAAUCUGGAGCGGGCUGGCAAGGC